AUGGGACGGCCCGCUGGGCUGUUCCCGCCCCUAUGCCCUUUUUUGGGUUUCCGGCCAGAGGCAUGCUGGGAGCGUCACAUGCAAAUUGAGCGUGCACCCAGCGUUCCGCCCUUUCUACGCUGGGCCGGUUAUCGACCCGGCCCAGUGCGCAGGCGCGGGAAAGUUGAACUAAUAAAGUUUGUACGAGUUCAGUGGAGGAGACCGCAAGUUGAGUGGAGGAGGCGGCGGUGGGGCCCCGGACCAGGUGCCUCCAUGGCAGGCUCUGAAGAGCUGGGGCUCCGGGAAGACACGCUGAGGGUCCUAGCUGCCUUCCUUAGGCGUGGUGAGGCUGCCGGGUCUCCUGUUCCAACUCCACCUAGGUAAGAGGAGUGGCCCUUCUCCCCCAGGGGCCAGCAUUUGAGGCUCCCUCCUAACUCUUGCUCCUGGUCUCAGUCUGUCUCCUCUCUUUAUAUCUGGCUCUAUUCUCUGUCUUUGGGGUUUUGGAGAGAGGUCCUCAGCGGGGGAGGGAGGGAGUUGGGGAAAGAGACUGCUUGCAGGGGAUCUCUGGUGGGGUCAGUCUCUGAAGUCCUCCUCUCCAGAAGCCCUGCCCAAGAAGAGCCAACAGACUUCCUGAGCCGCCUUCGAAGAUGUCUUCCCUGCUCCCUGGGGCGAGGAGCAGCCCCCUCUGAGUCCCCUCGGCCUUGCUCUCUGCCCAUCCGCCCCUGCUAUGGUUUAGAGCCUGGUAAGAGAUUUCCAUGAUCAUCUAUGAAGCCGGCAGAACACGGGAUAAGGCCCAGCUACUCCAGACUUCUAUGCUUUGGUGGCCCAGCGGCUGGAACAGCUGGUCCAAGAGCAGCUGAAAUCUCCGCCCAGCCCAGGAGGGCAUCCUGGCUGUUUCACCCGUGGACUUGAACUUGCCAUUGGACUGAGCUCUUUCUCAGAAGCUGCUACAAGAUGACACCUCAUGUCCCUGCCCUCUUCGUGUGCUUUUCCAAGUCUUCCUAUUCCACUCAGGGCUGUGGGGUGGUGGUUGCCCUACCUGUUUUUGCCAAAAAUAAAUUGUUUAAAACUUUUCUUAUUAAAAACGUUACAAAGUA
Molecule: unclassified non-coding RNA, 1076 nt
Filed under: Homo sapiens (human)
Lineage: Eukaryota; Metazoa; Chordata; Mammalia; Primates; Hominidae
Description: BCL2-like 12 (proline rich), transcript variant 44
Source: RNAcentral